Macaca fascicularis (crab-eating macaque) is the source of this 148-nucleotide unclassified non-coding RNA. It matches the Rfam family "Metazoan signal recognition particle RNA". Rfam says of the family: The signal recognition particle (SRP) is a universally conserved ribonucleoprotein. NCBI's taxonomy places the organism in Eukaryota, Metazoa, Chordata, Mammalia, Primates, Cercopithecidae. The record is from Ensembl.
GCUGGGCAUAGUGGCGCAUGCUUGUAGUCCCAGCUACUUGGGAAGCUGAGGCAGGAGAAUCACUUGAAUCCAGGAGGCAGAGGUUGCAGUGAGCAGAGAUCAUGCCACUGCACUCCAACCUGGGUGACAGAGUGAGACACUGUCUCUC